AAGUGCUGAAAUUGGUCUAACCCAUUUUUUGCCUGCCAAGUGGGGAGCUUUAACUCAUCAACCUUUUUGGGAUUUGAUGAUGAAAACAAUAAAUCAAUGUGAUUCCACUAUCAUUUGAUUGGCUGUGUGGUUCACUCCUAAAAUACUACAAUAUAAUUCAUUGAAUAAUUUUUAAACUUCUUUGAUUUUUAAAUUAUAUAUUGUUGAGUAUAUUUUCUUAAAUAU
RNAcentral lists this long non-coding RNA (225 nucleotides) under Carica papaya (papaya). Its description in RNAcentral is "long non-coding RNA (CPAP_LNC005156)". The record is from RNAcentral. Lineage: Eukaryota; Viridiplantae; Streptophyta; Magnoliopsida; Brassicales; Caricaceae.